This 392-nucleotide ribosomal RNA is filed under the name uncultured bacterium. Its description in RNAcentral is "partial 16S ribosomal RNA". It matches the Rfam family "Bacterial small subunit ribosomal RNA", at positions 523 to 918 of the family's 1533-position model. The record is from RNAcentral.
AUACGAAGGAUGCGAGCGUUAUCCGGAUUUAUUGGGUUUAAAGGGAGCGUAGGCGGGAGCUUAAGUCAGCGGUUAAAUGGUGCGGCUCAACCGUGCCCUGCCGUUGAAACUGGGUUUCUUGAGAGUGCAAGAGGCGGAUGGAAUUCAUGGUGUAGCGGUGAAAUGCUUAGAUAUCAUGAAGAACUCCGAUUGCGAAGGCAGUCCGCUGGGGCACGUCUGACGCUGAUGCUCGAAGGUGCGGGAAUCAAACAGGAUUAGAUACCCUGGUAGUCCGCACGGUAAACGAUGAUUACCCGCUGUCGGCGGCAGACAGUCGGCGGCCAAGCGAAAGCGAUAAGUAAUCCACCUGGGGAGUACGCCGGCAACGGUGAAACUCAAAGGAAUUGACGGGG